GAUGAACGCUGGCGGCGUGCUUAACACAUGCAAGUCGAACGGACGGAUGGGAGCUUGCUCCUUGAAGUUAGUGGCGGACGGGUGAGUAACGCGUGGGUAACCUGCCCUAUGCAGGGGGAUAACGUUUGGAAACGAACGCUAAUACCGCAUAAACUAUAGGAUGUCGCAUGACAUCUAUAGUAAAGAUUUAUCGGCAUAGGAUGGACCCGCGUUGGAUUAGCUAGUUGGUGAGAUAAUAGCCCACCAAGGCGACGAUCCAUAGCCGGCCUGAGAGGGUGAACGGCCACAUUGGGACUGAGACACGGCCCAAAACUCCUACGGGAGGCUG
This 328-nucleotide ribosomal RNA is filed under the name uncultured Bacillota bacterium. RNAcentral describes it as "bacterial SSU rRNA". It matches the Rfam family "Bacterial small subunit ribosomal RNA", at positions 28 to 351 of the family's 1533-position model. Lineage: Bacteria; Bacillati; Bacillota. The record is from RNAcentral.